GACGAACGCUGGCGGCGUGCUUAACACAUGCAAGUCGAACGGACAGGCCACUUUCUGGCGGUUCUCGCGUGGCGAACGGGUGAGUAACAAGUAAGUAACUAACCCAUGUCUAUGGCUUAACUACCUGCAACUAACCCGAAUACCUGCCAGGAGCUCCUGUGGCCUGGUUGGGGCUGUAAAGUUUCGGCGUUUUGGUGUGGCCUCGCGGCUUAUCCGCUUGUUGGUGGGGUAUUGGCUUACCAACGCGUUGACGGGUAGCCGGCCUGUGAGGGUGAGGGGCCACAUUGAGACUGAGAGACGGCACAGACACCUACGGGAGGGAGCAGGGGGGAAGAUUGCAGAAUGGGUGGAAGGCUGAUGCAGAAAGGCCGUGGGCGGGAUGACGGCCUUCGGGUUGUAGACCGCAUGCGUUCAUGACUAAGCUCUGUGUGACGGUAGUGAGUAAAGAAGCACCGGCUAACUACGUG
RNAcentral lists this ribosomal RNA (467 nucleotides) under uncultured bacterium. Its description in RNAcentral is "partial 16S ribosomal RNA". It matches the Rfam family "Bacterial small subunit ribosomal RNA", at positions 28 to 507 of the family's 1533-position model. The record is from RNAcentral.